AGGGGGUACUUGCCUGUUCCUCAGAGAGGAAUGUUGCUACUAUAUCAAUGAGUCUGGGCUAAUAGAAAAGAAUAUUGUUAAAUUGCAGGAAUUAUCGACCUAAUUGCUCAAAACCACCUCCCCUAAUCCCAUAGCAGGGUUCUUCCAAUCUUCUCCAUGUACUUGCUACCUUUCUUGGGGCCCCUUAUUGGGAUACUCCUCUUUUGCUCUCUCUUGCCCUGCAUAACGAAGUUCCUUCAAACCCAAUUACAGAAAAUUUCUAAUCAAACUUUCAAUCAGCUUCUGCUUAGGAACUACCAGCCUCUGAUGACCGAUGAACCCCGAAUAUCUUCAAGAGAACAGCUCACUCAGUGCUGAAGCUUACUACCAGGCACAAUGAAAAACGACGGACAUCGGACAGCGGGAGACAAAAAUCCAGGAUGGCAGAGGAUCUCUUAACCUGUCAACCGGGAUUUUUGAGCCUUCAUGUCCUUCUAAGCCUCCUCAUGGCCCUUGGCCUCUUCUCUGUCAGUCCCCCAGCAUGGAACUCCCACCGAAAACUGACCUUUGUUUUAAUUCUUAUCUUCAUCUUGUUCUUGUUUGCUCUGAUCUUCUUCAGGUGCUGGUGACGCCCCUUAUGACAGGGACACUAGGAAAUAUUGGAAGCGCUAUUUUGACAUGACAUUGGCGCUCCCGAUGCUUCCUGGAGCCCUUGUUACGAGACCUAAUGGCUGGUGACCAACCCCAACAACCUCCUCCAUCCAGGGAUAACGCCCCACGCCACCCCUACUCAGCAGGAAGUAGCCAGAGUCGAAUGACGUCCCUGUUCCAAAAACAACACAAAAGAGGGGGAAAUGUUGGUCAUAUAUGCUCUAUCUAACAUGGCACCCAGGUAGCUUCUCUUCCUGUGUCUUCGUUUCCACCAGCGCCAAUUUUCAAUUCCACUGGCAGAAAACCCAGCCCAAUAAGAACUAAUUUCGUAGGCUCCAGAACUGAUAUCUGGAAGAACUUACCAAUAAACAAGCACCCUGUCGUUUACCUAAGUCCUGCCUCCUAUCCUUAGAUCUAUAUAAGCACAUAGCCUUUUGAAAUAAAGUGGAACUUCUCCCGUGAUUUGUCUCGCAUCG
Molecule: long non-coding RNA, 1106 nt
Filed under: Marmota monax (woodchuck)
Lineage: Eukaryota; Metazoa; Chordata; Mammalia; Rodentia; Sciuridae
Source: RNAcentral